This 438-nucleotide ribosomal RNA is filed under the name uncultured bacterium. RNAcentral describes it as "bacterial SSU rRNA". It matches the Rfam family "Bacterial small subunit ribosomal RNA", at positions 43 to 524 of the family's 1533-position model. The record is from RNAcentral.
CAGGCCUAACACAUGCAAGUCGAACGAGUGCCUUCGGGUGCUAGUGGCGCACGGGUGCGUAACGCGUGGGAAUCUGCCCUGGGGUCUGGGAUAACGUUGGGAAACUGACGCUAAUACCGGAUGAUGAUGAAAGUCCAAAGAUUUAUCGCCCNUGGGAUGAGCCCGCGUAGGAUUAGGUAGUUGGUGUGGUAAAGGCGCACCAAGCCGACGAUCCUUAGCUGGUCUGAGAGGAUGAUCAGCCACACUGGGACUGAGACACGGCCCAGACUCCUACGGGAGGCAGCAGUGGGGAAUAUUGGACAAUGGGCGCAAGCCUGAUCCAGCAAUGCCGCGUGAGUGAUGAAGGCCUUAGGGUUGUAAAGCUCUUUUACCCGUGAUGAUAAUGACAGUACCGGGAGAAUAAGCUCCGGCUAACUCCGUGCCAGCAGCCGCGGUAAU